RNAcentral lists this transfer RNA (38 nucleotides) under Drosophila melanogaster (fruit fly). Its description in RNAcentral is "tRNA-Tyr". The record is from RNAcentral. Lineage: Eukaryota; Metazoa; Arthropoda; Insecta; Diptera; Drosophilidae.
UCUACAGUCCACCGCUCUACCAACUGAGCUAUCGAAGG